This 471-nucleotide ribosomal RNA is filed under the name uncultured bacterium. Its description in RNAcentral is "SSU rRNA". It matches the Rfam family "Bacterial small subunit ribosomal RNA", at positions 26 to 522 of the family's 1533-position model. The record is from RNAcentral.
AGCCUGAACGCUGGCGGCGUGGCUAAGACAUGCAAGUCGUACGGGCCUAGCAAUAGGUCAGUGGCGAACGGGUGAGUAAUGUAUCGCUAACGUACCCCUCAAUCCGGGAUAGCUGGGGGAAACUCCAGGUAAUACCGGGUGACAUUCUCUUUUCGCAUGAGGAGAGACUCAAAGGGAAACCGUUGAGGGAGCGGGCGAUAUCGUAUCAGCUAGUUGGUGAGGUAACGGCUCACCAAGGCAAUGACGCGUAGCCGGACUGAGAGGUCGGUCGGCCACAUUGGGACUGAGACACUGCCCAGACUCCUACGGGGGGCUGCAGUAACGAAUCUUCCGACAAUGCACGCAAGUGUGACGGAGCGACGCCGCGUGUGGGGACGAAGUCCUUCGGGAUGUAAACCACUGUCAGGGGUUACCAAGUUCUGAGGAGCCCCAGAGGAAGGCACGGCUAACUCUGUGCCAGCAGCCGCGUAA